GUCCCCAGCGUAGAUCAAAUAGGCCACU
Molecule: non-coding RNA, 28 nt
Filed under: Mus musculus (house mouse)
Lineage: Eukaryota; Metazoa; Chordata; Mammalia; Rodentia; Muridae
Source: RNAcentral